Molecule: non-coding RNA, 30 nt
Filed under: Mus musculus (house mouse)
Lineage: Eukaryota; Metazoa; Chordata; Mammalia; Rodentia; Muridae
Source: RNAcentral
UUGACAAUUAUUUUAAAUUUUUCUGGAAAC